AUGGAGCUGUUUAUUGGCAAUCAGAGUGGGUCCAGGCUGGGAAUGAUCUGGUUUGGGGAAGAGAGAACAGAAAUAGUUAAGAGAACCUUGAAAUCCAAGACCAAUGAGAAGAUGACAAGAAGGGCACUAGUUGCCCUCAUUGAGUUCAAGUCACCAGACUGGGGUGAACCACAUCUCAGAGUACUCAGAGUACAGAGAACCACAGAAAAAGGACAUCUCAGCCUGUUUUUAUUCAUUACUAUUAUUUGCAAAAAGACAGCCAAGAUAAGACCUGAAGUUCACAUAACUCCUUUUGUUACAGAGGAUGAGGAGGCUAAAAAAUUCUAAGAAGAACUCAAAGUGAUCUUCCAAAUUAAACCAACA
This 363-nucleotide long non-coding RNA is filed under the name Monodelphis domestica (gray short-tailed opossum). Its description in RNAcentral is "lncRNA (ENSMODG00000044381.1)". Lineage: Eukaryota; Metazoa; Chordata; Mammalia; Didelphimorphia; Didelphidae. The record is from RNAcentral.